This 868-nucleotide ribosomal RNA is filed under the name Auricularia thailandica. RNAcentral's name for it is "eukaryotic LSU rRNA". It matches the Rfam family "Eukaryotic large subunit ribosomal RNA", at positions 76 to 933 of the family's 3401-position model. The record is from RNAcentral. Lineage: Eukaryota; Fungi; Basidiomycota; Agaricomycetes; Auriculariales; Auriculariaceae.
UCCCCUAGUAACGGCGAGUGAAGCGGGAAGAGCUCAAAUUUGAAAUCUGGCGGUCUCAGGCCGUCCGAGUUGUAAUCUAGAGAGGUGUUUUCCGUGCCGGACCGUGUACAAGUCCCUUGGAACAGGGCGUCAUAGAGGGUGAGAAUCCCGUCCAUGACACGGACUACCGGUGCUCUGUGAUACACCUUCAAAGAGUCGAGUUGUUUGGGAAUGCAGCUCAAAAUGGGUGGUAAAUUCCAUCUAAAGCUAAAUACAGGCGAGAGACCGAUAGCGAACAAGUACCGUGAGGGAAAGAUGAAAAGAACUUUGGAAAGAGAGUUAAACAGUACGUGAAAUUGUUGAAAGGGAAACGCUUGAAGUCAGUCGCGUCUGCCAGGACUCAGCCUUGCUUUUGCUUGGUGCACUUCUUGGUGGAUGGGCCAGCAUCGAUUUUGGCCGCCGGAAAAGGGCGGGAGGAAUGUGGCAGCUUUUGCUGUGUUAUAGCCUUCCGUCGUACACGGUGGUUGGGAUCGAGGACUGCAGCACGCCUUUGGUCGGGGUUCGCCCACGCCACGUGCUUAGGAUGCUGGCGUAAUGGCUUUAAACGACCCGUCUUGAAACACGGACCAAGGAGUCUAACAUGCCUGCGAGUGUUUGGGUGCAAAACCCAGGCGCGUAAUGAAAGUGAAAAGUUGGGACUCUUUAGUGAGGCACCGACGCCCGACCCUGAAGUCUUCUGACGGGUUUGAGGCAGAGCAUGUAUGUUGGGACCCGAAAGAUGGUGAACUAUGCCUGAAUAGGGUGAAGCCAGAGGAAACUCUGGUGGAGGCUCGUAGCGAUUCUGACGUGCAAAUCGAUCGUCAAAUUUGGGUAUAGGGGCGAAAGACUA